CGCCGGGGUAUGACGUCGU
Molecule: microRNA, 19 nt
Filed under: Ciona intestinalis (vase tunicate)
Lineage: Eukaryota; Metazoa; Chordata; Ascidiacea; Phlebobranchia; Cionidae
Description: cin-miR-4053-5p
Source: miRBase by way of RNAcentral